AGUGAACGCUGGCGGUAGGCCUAACACAUGCAAGUCGAACGGCAGCACAGUAAGAGCUUGCUCUUACGGGUGGCGAGUGGCGGACGGGUGAGGAAUACAUCGGAACCUACUUUUUCGUGGGGGAUAACGUAGGGAAACUUACGCUAAUACCGCAUACGACCUACGGGUGAAAGCAGGGGAUCUUCGGACCUUGCGCGAUUGAAUGAGCCGAUGUCGGAUUAGCUAGUUGGCGGGGUAAAGGCCCACCAAGGCGACGAUCCGUAGCUGGUCUGAGAGGAUGAUCAGUCACACUGGAACUGAGACACGGUCCAGACUCCUACGGGAGGCAGCAGUGGGGAAUAUUGGACAAUGGGCGCAAGCCUGAUCCAGCCAUACCGCGUGGGUGAAGAAGGCCUUCGGGUUGUAAAGCCCUUUUGUUGGGAAAGAAAAGCAGCAGGUUAAUACCCCGCUGUUCUGACGGUACCCAAAGAAUAAGCACCGGCUAACUUCGUG
Molecule: ribosomal RNA, 492 nt
Filed under: uncultured bacterium
Lineage: Bacteria
Description: partial 16S ribosomal RNA
Rfam family: Bacterial small subunit ribosomal RNA
Source: RNAcentral